Molecule: transfer RNA, 74 nt
Filed under: Pseudenhygromyxa salsuginis
Lineage: Bacteria; Pseudomonadati; Myxococcota; Nannocystales; Nannocystaceae
Also listed under: 1 other name
Description: tRNA-Phe
Rfam family: tRNA
About the family: Transfer RNA (tRNA) molecules are approximately 80 nucleotides in length. Their secondary structure includes four short double-helical elements and three loops (D, anti-codon, and T loops).
Source: RNAcentral
CCCGCAGCAGCUGAGAUGGUUGCAAGCGCUCGGUUGAAGCCCGAGAGAAGGCGGUUCGAUUCCGUCCUGCGGGA